GGGGUGUUAUGUUUGCGAUCUCUGCCUUGGUACCUAAGGAGGAAGAGGAGGAGGAGGAGGGUGUGUUACUGAAUGGUGGCUAAAGCCUCCUCGGGACGGCGCUGAGGUGAAACAGGCUGAACCCGACUGAUGUGGCUCCUCUCUCGGUUGGACCCAGUGCCCUAAGCAGCCGAUGAGAGACCCCCGGCCGCCCGGCUCGCAGGUUACACACAUGAAGUGAACAGAGGGGGCUUGAUCCGGCUGUCCCCUCUCGAGAAGCCUUCAUAAAUUAUUAAAUCACACUUGAUCAAGUUAACAAUGGAGUUAACUACGAGCAGGUAUCUUUUUAGUGCUGAAAUGGACACACUAAUUGUGAUCCACGUGGUAAGGAGCUCCUUCUAAAAUAUGCAGUAGCACAUUUACUGGAAUUUAACAGGCUGCGUACUUUAAAGCCUCUCCUGCCUGUAAUCAUGUGAACAAACCUUGCAAGUCACAGUGCCAGCUCGAGAUGCAGCACAGCCCAGAGCAGCAGCCCUGGAACAGCCCCCACCACUGGGCAAGGGACAGAAAGGAGACACUGACCUGCAACGGGAGGAGAGACCUCGCUACCAGGAUUUGCUCACGGUUUUGCUUCUGGCAACUAACAUUUCCAUUUUUCUCAAAGCUUCUACAUCUGUGUCAUCAGACAAAGCCCCACGAGUGGUGCCAGAGCAAACUGUAGCCUUCAUUGUCAAGUUGGAAGAGAAAAAAUUAUUUACAAGUCAAAAUCCCAGAACUGGCUGCCCAGAGGUCACUCUUUGUUGGCCACUGCUAUGAACCAUUAAGGCUUCCCAAAGCUCUAAAAGGAACGGGACAUUGUGUGGGGCAGAAAAAUCUUAUUGUUUUAAAUUUGCUUAAAUUCUAUUUCAUUGUAUUAUAUGAUUUUUGUCCUACCAGAGGAACAUGAAAGAUGGGAUGUUUCUAUCAUUGCUUGCAUGAAUGACUUAAAUUGACUGUCAGAACUUGCAGGACAAAUCUUUGACCCUUCUCAAGUUUGUUUUAAACUGAAGGAAAUGAUAUUUUAAUUGAUUAGGACUUUAAGCUAUUUUUAAAGGAAAAUUAUUGAUUCAUGCAAUGAAUUUUACUGUUUAAUCAGCCUUCCACCUCAGUAUUGAUAUAUAUUUUUGGUUACAAAUUUAGGUAAAUGUUUAACUAUGUGUUUUAAUGCUGCCCUGCCUUUUUUUUUCCUUUCCUGUUUGAGACAGGCUUUUCUGAAUCAAACCCUCGAAUAUAGUGACAAUUAGGACAAUUUCCAGACACAUCAGCAAGACUUUCUGUACUAGGUGUGUGAAUGUAGAUGUUAAGAGGAAGCACAAGUAAUGACUUUUUUUUCCAUUCACAAAGGAAGCACUAAGACAUCAAGGUUAUUCAACAGAAAUUAAUAAAUGCAGCCUGUAAAGUUAUUAUUUUUCCAAACUGUGAGAAGAUCUCUGAAAUAAUAAAGAUAAUGUACAACAAAAA
This is a long non-coding RNA of Camarhynchus parvulus, 1479 nucleotides long. RefSeq lists it as uncharacterized. Lineage: Eukaryota; Metazoa; Chordata; Aves; Passeriformes; Thraupidae. The transcript has 4 exons. The record is from RefSeq and is a predicted model, not a curated record.